ACGGGAGGCAGCAGUGGGGAAUAUUGGGCAAUGGGCGAAAGCCUGACCCAGCAACGCCGCGUGAAGGAAGAAGGCCUUCGGGUUGUAAACUUCUUUUACCAGGGACGAAGGACGUGACGGUACCUGGAGAAAAAGCAACGGCUAACUACGUGCCAGCAGCCGCGGUAAUACGUAGGUUGCAAGCGUUGUCCGGAUUUACUGGGUGUAAAGGGAGCGUAGACGGCUUUGCAAGCCUGAAGUGAAAGCCCGGGGCUCAACCCCGGAACUGCUUUGGAAACUGUAGAGCUAGAGUGCAGGAGAGGUAAGUGGAAUUCCUAGUGUAGCGGUGAAAUGCGUAGAUAUUAGGAGGAACACCAGUGGCGAAGGCGGCUUACUGGACUGUAACUGACGUUGAGGCUCGAAGGCGUGGGGAGCAAACAGGAUUAGAUACCCUGGUA
Molecule: ribosomal RNA, 437 nt
Filed under: uncultured Clostridium sp.
Lineage: Bacteria; Bacillati; Bacillota; Clostridia; Eubacteriales; Clostridiaceae
Description: partial 16S ribosomal RNA
Rfam family: Bacterial small subunit ribosomal RNA
Source: RNAcentral